This 468-nucleotide ribosomal RNA is filed under the name uncultured bacterium. Its description in RNAcentral is "partial 16S ribosomal RNA". It matches the Rfam family "Bacterial small subunit ribosomal RNA", at positions 28 to 507 of the family's 1533-position model. The record is from RNAcentral.
GACGAACGCUGGCGGCGUGCUUAACGCAUGCAAGUCGAACGGAAAAGCCCUGCUUUUGUGGGGUGCUCGAGUGGCGAACGGGUGAGUAACACGUGAGUAACCUGCCCUUGACUUUGGGAUAACUUCAGGAAACUGGGGCUAAUACCGGAUAGGAGCUCCUGCUGCAUGGUGGGGGUUGGAAAGUUUCGGCGGUUGGGGAUGGACUCGCGGCUUAUCAGCUUGUUGGUGGGGUAGUGGCUUACCAAGGCUUUGACGGGUAGCCGGCCUGAGAGGGUGACCGGCCACAUUGGGACUGAGAUACGGCCCAGACUCCUACGGGAGGCAGCAGUGGGGAAUAUUGCACAAUGGGCGGAAGCCUGAUGCAGCAACGCCGCGUGCGGGAUGACGGCCUUCGGGUUGUAAACCGCUUUCGCCUGUGACGAAGCGUGAGUGACGGUAAUGGGUAAAGAAGCACCGGCUAACUACGUG